This 440-nucleotide ribosomal RNA is filed under the name uncultured bacterium. RNAcentral describes it as "partial 16S ribosomal RNA". It matches the Rfam family "Bacterial small subunit ribosomal RNA", at positions 338 to 795 of the family's 1533-position model. The record is from RNAcentral.
CCUACGGGAGGCAGCAGUGGGGGAUAUUGCACAAUGGACGAAACCCUGAUGCAGCAAAGCCGCGUGAGUGAAGACGUAUUUCGGUCUGUAAAGCUCUAUCAGCAGGGAAGUGAAUGACGGUACCUGAGUAAGAAGCUCCGGCUAACUACGUGCCAGCACCCGCGGUAAUAAGGAGGGUGCGAGCGUUAUACGGAUUUACUGGGUGUAAAGGGGGCGUAGGCGGCUUGUCAAGUCUGUAGUGAAAUCCAGAGGCUUAACCCCGGAACGGCUUUUGAAACUGAGCAUCUAGAGUGCUGGAGAGGUGAGCGGAAUUCCUAGUGUAGCGGUGAAAUGCUUAGAUAUUAGGAAGAACUCCAGUUGCGAAGGCGGCUUACUGGACAGUAACUGACGUUGAGGCUCGAAAGCGUGGGGAUCAAACAGGAUUAGAUACCCGAGUAGUC